CCUACGGGAGACUGCAGUAGGGAAUCUUCCACAAUGGGCGAAAGCCUGAUGGAGCAACGCCGCGUGGGUGAAGAAGGUCUUCGGAUCGUAAAACCCUGUUGUUAGAGAAGAAAGUGCGUGAGAGUAACUGUUCACGUUUCGACGGUAUCUAACCAGAAAGCCACGGCUAACUACGUGCCAGCAGCCGCGGUAAUACGUAGGUGGCAAGCGUUAUCCGGAUUUAUUGGGCGUAAAGGGAACGCAGGCGGUCUUUUAAGUCUGAUGUGAAAGCCUUCGGCUUAACCGGAGUAGUGCAUUGGAAACUGGGAGACUGGAGUGCAGAAGAGGAGAGUGGAACUCCAUGUGUAGCGGUGAAAUGCGUAGAUAUAUGGAAGAACACCAGUGGCGAAAGCGGCUCUCUGGUCUGUAACUGACGCUGAGGUUCGAAAGCGUGGGUAGCAAACAGGAUUAGAUACCCGUGUAGUC
RNAcentral lists this ribosomal RNA (465 nucleotides) under uncultured bacterium. Its description in RNAcentral is "partial 16S ribosomal RNA". It matches the Rfam family "Bacterial small subunit ribosomal RNA", at positions 338 to 795 of the family's 1533-position model. The record is from RNAcentral.